GACGAACGCUGGCGGCGUGCUUAACACAUGCAAGUCGAACGGAAAGGCCCAGCUUGCUGGGUGCUCGAGUGGCGAACGGGUGAGUAACACGUGGGUGAUCUGCCCCUAACUUCGGGAUAAGCUUGGGAAACUGGGUCUAAUACCGGAUAGGACAAUCGUUUAGUGUCGGUUGUGGAAAGUUUUUUCGGUUAGGGAUGAGCCCGCGGCCUAUCAGCUUGUUGGUGGGGUAAUGGCCUACCAAGGCGUCGACGGGUAGCCGGCCUGAGAGGGUGGACGGCCACAUUGGGACUGAGAUACGGCCCAGACUCCUACGGGAGGCAGCAGUGGGGAAUAUUGCACAAUGGGCGCAAGCCUGAUGCAGCGACGCCGCGUGGGGGAUGACGGCCUUCGGGUUGUAAACCUCUUUCGACAGGGACGAAGCUUUGGUGACGGUACCUGUAUAAGAAGCACUGGCUAACUACGUG
Molecule: ribosomal RNA, 464 nt
Filed under: uncultured bacterium
Lineage: Bacteria
Description: partial 16S ribosomal RNA
Rfam family: Bacterial small subunit ribosomal RNA
Source: RNAcentral